UACGAAGGGGGCUAGCGUUGUUCGGAUUUACUGGGCGUAAAGCGCACGUAGGCGGAUCGUUAAGUCGGGGGUGAAAUCCUGGAGCUCAACUCCAGAACUGCCUUCGAUACUGGCGAUCUUGAGUCCGGAAGAGGUGAGUGGAACUCCUAGUGUAGAGGUGGAAUUCGUAGAUAUUAGGAAGAACACCAGUGGCGAAGGCGGCUCACUGGUCGGUACUGACGCUGAGGUGCGAAAGGCGUGGGGAGCAAACAGG
RNAcentral lists this ribosomal RNA (253 nucleotides) under uncultured bacterium. Its description in RNAcentral is "partial 16S ribosomal RNA". It matches the Rfam family "Bacterial small subunit ribosomal RNA", at positions 524 to 776 of the family's 1533-position model. The record is from RNAcentral.